RNAcentral lists this ribosomal RNA (432 nucleotides) under uncultured bacterium. RNAcentral's name for it is "partial 16S ribosomal RNA". It matches the Rfam family "Bacterial small subunit ribosomal RNA", at positions 338 to 795 of the family's 1533-position model. The record is from RNAcentral.
CCUACGGGAGGCUGCAGUGGGGAAUAUUGGACAAUGGGCGAAAGCCUGAUCCAGCAAUGCCGCGUGAAUGAUGAAGGCCUUAGGGUUGUAAAGUUCUUUUAGUAGGGAAGCGGUACCUACAGAAAAAGCUCCGGCUAACUUCGUGCCAGCAGCCGCGGUAAUACGAAGGGAGCUAGCGUUGUUCGGAAUUACUGGGCGUAAAGAGCGCGUAGGCGGUCUGUAAAGUUAGGAGUGAAAGCCCAAGGCUUAACCUUGGAACUGCUCUUAAAACUCACAGACUAGAGAUUGGUAGAGGAUGGUGGAAUUCCUAGUGUAGAGGUGAAAUUCGUAGAUAUUAGGAGGAACACCGGUGGCGAAGGCGGCCAUCUGGGCCAAACUGACGCUGAGGCGCGAAAGCGUGGGGAGCAAACAGGAUUAGAUACCCCAGUAGUC